Molecule: ribosomal RNA, 776 nt
Filed under: uncultured Neocallimastigales
Lineage: Eukaryota; Fungi; Neocallimastigomycota; Neocallimastigomycetes; Neocallimastigales
Description: partial large subunit ribosomal RNA
Rfam family: Eukaryotic large subunit ribosomal RNA
Source: RNAcentral
ACACGCAUGACACACUGCAUAUCAAUAAGCGGAGGAAAAGAAACUAACAAGGAUUCCCUUAGUAACGGCGAGUGAAGCGGGAAGAGCUCAAAUUUGAAAUCUUCAAGGUUCUACCUUGACGAAUUGUAGUUUAUAGAAGUGUUUUCUGUUAGUGGAGUGGCAAAAGUUCUUUGGAAUAGGACAUCAUAGAGGGUGAGAAUCCCGUAUUUGGUCAUUCCUCCUAGCGUUGUGAUACACUUUCAACGAGUCGGAUUGUUUGGGAAUGCAGUCCAAAAUGGGUGGUAAAUUUCAUCUAAAGCUAAAUAUUGGCGAGAGACCGAUAGCGAACAAGUACCGUGAGGGAAAGAUGAAAAGAACUUUGAAAAGAGAGUUAAACAGUACGUGAAAUUGUCAAAAGGGAAGCGUUUGACACCAGUGUUGUUUUUCCGAAAAUCAAUUACGAAUGUUUUAUUUUUGAGGAGUUAUGACUUCAUCGGCUUGCUCCUCUCUUUAUGAAACUUUCUUAAUGCACUUUUCGGUUAACAAGUCAACAUCAAUUUCUUUUGUUGUAAAAGGGUAUGAGGAAGGUGGCUUUCUUUUCGGAGAAAGUGUUUAUAGCCUUGUAGCCUCUGCAAUCGGAGAGAUUGAGGUCUGCAGCGUAGAUCCUUCGGGGUUAGAUACAGUUUGUGCUAAGUUAUAGCUUUUCAUAGACAACUUGUUGACUAUGUUUAGUCUUGUAGCUUACUCGCUUAUGCUAUUUUACCUACGCUUAGGAUGUUGACUGAUAUGUAGUCGUA